UAUCGAGGGACGGAGAAGGCUAAGCUAGCCGGAUAUUGGUUACCGGUUUAAACGUUCGAGAUGUUGAGAAGCGGAGAAAACGCUUUGAGUUGAGACGUGAGUACGAGACGCUAAGGCGUCGAAGUAGUGUAUGUCAUACUUCCAAGAAAAGCUUGCACUGUCAUUCAUAAAAAAUGCCUGUACCAUAACCGACACAGGUGGGUAGGUAGAGUAUACUAAGGGGCGCGAGAUAACUCUCUCUAAGGAACUCGGCAAAAUAACUCCGUAACUUCGGGAGAAGGAGUGCCUUAUUUAUAUAAGGUUGCAAUAACAAGAUCCAAGCAACUGUUUACCAAAAACACAGGUCUCCGCUAAGUCGCAAGACGAUGUAUGGGGGCUGACGCCUGCCCAGUGCCAGAAGGUUAAAGAAGUUGGUUAGCAAUAGCGAAGCUAGUAACUGAAGCCCUGGUGAACGGCGGCCGUAACUAUAACGGUCCUAAGGU
Molecule: ribosomal RNA, 482 nt
Filed under: Hemiselmis tepida
Lineage: Eukaryota; Cryptophyceae; Cryptomonadales; Hemiselmidaceae
Description: partial Bacterial large subunit ribosomal RNA
Rfam family: Bacterial large subunit ribosomal RNA
Source: RNAcentral